UGUAUAGUUCUAGUUGAAUACAUUUGUUAUAACAUGAAGCUUUUGGCUUGAUGUUAGUAGAGAAGAUAUAUAAGAAGAAAGUACAUUUUCUUAAGAGCAGCGCCGUCUAUGCGUAUUUACAACUUAUCGUCUUAAAUAACAUAGAAAUUUGCUUGGAACUCCUACUAUCUUCAACCUACUCAGUACGUGUAUGUGUCGAAUAAGCAAGAUUCCGUGCAAAAUUUUUCAGUGGGUGAUGAUCACGGUCUGAACGUUUCAAGAUUGAGCGGGUCGUUCUUUCCAGAUUUACCUCCGGCAUCAUCGUUAAGGAUUCCGUCAGACGGCUGGCUCCCAGCGGCAAACCAACUAAGUCUAUGCAUAGAUUCGUAAUGCAUAAUUCUAACCUUAGCUGGCAAUUCAUUAUACUACGACGGGGGCAUGUUCCACGGUCUGUCGCGCUGUCAAGAUGAAGAAUGUUUGAACUACAAAUCCUCUCCGGACCGAGGCAACAAGCGAGAAGACGAUGGACCGCAGACUCCUCUUUGGCGAGGGAAUUCGGUCCAGUCAUCUCAAAGGCUCCUUUUUGCUUAUUUGUUAUAUGUUUGCUUAUAUGUUAGUCGCACUACUGUCACAAGUCGUGCGUACGCCUGGGGGAAUAUGUCAGUCAGGCACUGAAAUGGGUUCGACUUCAUUCAGGUUCUAUUGGAAACUAUUUGACCAUAUAGAUAUCAUUGCUAGCAAAGAUAAAAGAGUUUCUGCACGACAUCAGUGCACGUGAUGACAACAAAGCUUCUAGCGCAAGAAAAUCCUGGGCAAGUCUCAACACGGAAAACCAAUCAGAUUCAGCAGUAUUUAAAGGGGUUGCUGUAAAAAAAAAAAAGUUUCUGAUGUAUAGCAAAAAUGAUAAACAUUGACUGAAAUUUGAAUUAACUCGACAAACUAAGUUAAAAUAUUAGUAUUAGUAUUGAGGCCUUGGAAAAUUGAGCGACCGCGGAACGACCGCUAUAUUCAGUAGUUGUUAUACCCAUAAGGCUUUGGCGAUCGGAAAU
Long non-coding RNA from Varroa destructor (honeybee mite), 1028 nucleotides. RefSeq lists it as uncharacterized. Lineage: Eukaryota; Metazoa; Arthropoda; Arachnida; Mesostigmata; Varroidae. The record is from RefSeq and is a predicted model, not a curated record.